UCCUACGGGAGGCAGCAGUGGGGAAUAUUGCACAAUGGGCGCAAGCCUGAUGCAGCCAUGCCGCGUGUAUGAAGAAGGCCUUCGGGUUGUAAAGUACUUUCAGCGAGGAGGAAGGCAUUAAGGUUAAUAACCUURGUGAUUGACGUUACUCGCAGAAGAAGCACCGGCUAACUCCGUGCCAGCAGCCGCGGUAAUACGGAGGGUGCAAGCGUUAAUCGGAAUUACUGGGCGUAAAGCGCACGCAGGCGGUUUGUUAAGUCAGAUGUGAAAUCCCCGAGCUUAACUUGGGAACUGCAUUKGAAACUGGCAAGCUAGAGUCUUGUAGAGGGGGGUAGAAUUCCAGGUGUAGCGGUGAAAUGSGUAGAGAUCUGGAGGRAAUACCGGUGG
This 387-nucleotide ribosomal RNA is filed under the name Hafnia paralvei. RNAcentral's name for it is "bacterial SSU rRNA". Lineage: Bacteria; Pseudomonadati; Pseudomonadota; Gammaproteobacteria; Enterobacterales; Hafniaceae. The record is from RNAcentral.